RNAcentral lists this long non-coding RNA (867 nucleotides) under Homo sapiens (human). RNAcentral's name for it is "HSALNT0325215". Lineage: Eukaryota; Metazoa; Chordata; Mammalia; Primates; Hominidae. The record is from RNAcentral.
GUUAAGAUGACUGGUGAUUUCAUGAGUUAAACGUGCCAAGCGCUUAGAAGUGUGUCAGCACAUUGUGACACUCAACAAACUUCAUUAGUGUUUCCACCAGUCUGCUGCCUGAACCGGCCAAGAGGACCACCUGCAUCCCUGCGCACAGUACAGAGAGCUCAGAGUUGAGGAAGGUGUGGGCCCGGUUUGCUAUGGGGGCAGUGAGGGGUGAGAAGAGGCCCUGGGGAAACUCUGGAGUGCUUAUUGAGUAUUUUGUGCCACCCCGGGAAUAAAGAGAUCAAGAAGACCCAGCCCUGGAAGCAAGAAGACAGGCAGAGAGGCGAAGGAGUGGGCUCCCGAUAAGAGGAUGAAUUCAGCCCUCCUUCCUCUUCUUUCACGUGUUCUCUUGCCCUUCCACCCUCCACCAUGGGAUGACACACCAAGAAGGCCUUCACCAGAUGUGGGCCCUUGACCUUGGACUUCCCAGCCUCCAGAACUAAGGAGAAACCAACUCCAAGUUCUUAUUGGAAUAUUUACAGGGUACUGGAGGGGCUCACAGUAUUAAGGAGAAGACUCCGGCAGCCUCUGAAAGAAAGAAAACUAGGGAAGCUCUGGAAACACCAAUAAACGACCUCUGUCUAGGACGCUGCUGGUGGAUGACUCAAUGUGAUGGUUCAUUUCAUGUGUCAGCUUGGAUGGGCUAUAGGGUGCAGGUAUUGGGUCAAACAUUAUUCUAGAUGUAUCUGUGAAGCUCUAUUUUAGAUGAGAUAGACACUGAAAUGGGUGAACUUUGAGUAAAGAAGAGCACUCGCUAUAAUGUGGGUGAGCCUCUUCCAAUCAGGUGAAGACCUUAGCAGAAAAAAAACUGACUGUAGGCGUCCCAAUCUC